RNAcentral lists this long non-coding RNA (2091 nucleotides) under Oryza brachyantha (malo sina). RNAcentral describes it as "long non-coding RNA (OBRA_LNC000126)". Lineage: Eukaryota; Viridiplantae; Streptophyta; Magnoliopsida; Poales; Poaceae. The record is from RNAcentral.
UCUCUCUGAAUCAUCUUCUCCACUAGAUUGCUUUCAUCCAUCUGUCUUCUGUAUAUGUCGUCUUCCUCCUCCUCUCUCUUGGAUCAUCAAGAUCCCCUGUUAGAUCAUACAAAACAGAAAAUGUGCGUUAAUGUUCUUAGUUUUUUUUAGAUUAUGUAUUUUUUUUAGAUUAUGUAUUCUCUGUUCCUCUAACCCUUGCAAUUUCUGACCUCCUGCUCCAAGUGUUCUCAAGGCAAUCUAUUCUCCCCCUAUUUUCAUCCAAAAAAAAGUGUGCUUGAAACUAGAUAUCCCAAUGCCAAUCUCAACCCAUGCAGGCCAAAAAAGCUCAAAACCCAAAAAACACUAGCCGGUGACAGAAAAAUAUUCUGAGUUUUUUGGUUGAACAGAGCAGCUCGAGUGGGACUUCUUCCUAUGAUUUAGUUAAUGUUCUGAAGUUUUCGAAGCAAUUGAAGUAGAUUACUCUAAACAUAGCAGUUCAGAGCAGAGUUUUAGAAGUGGUAUUUUACUCCAAAAUGUAACAUUGACAAAAGAAUUCUCUAUUCUAUUUAUAAGAGGUACAUCAAUGAAAAUGUAACAGUACAAUCAUACAAUUUUGAUAGCUAGAACCAAAACAGAACAUUUUGGUUAAUGUUCUUCCUAGCACAGUUGAACUAUUGUGCUCCACAAACCAAAACCAAGCAAAGCAACUUGAAUACCUGAUGAUACAGUUACUACAUAGGGAUUACCUUUGUCUGUUGCUGCAUUCAUAAUUGUGACAAAAAGCAAUGGUAAACUCAAAUCACAAAUUGACAGAAAACUAGUUUUACCAGUAUACCAAUGGCGCCAACUAUAAUCACUGAACAAAAACUAUUCAAAUUAUCAGGUAUUCAAGUUAUGCACAGACCUGACCAAAAACAAAGUUAGCCGCGUUCCCAUUCUAGUCCCACUCCCAGAGAUAGCUAUGUGUCGUGCUUCAGAAUUUGGGAUUUGGUCUUAACAUGUAUAUAGUUUUGAUAUAUAUCCCAGCUGAAAACCCAAAAACAUGUUCAUGCAUAUCCUGCACACAAAAAAACACUGUGUCAGCUUUCCCCCACUGUGUUUUUAUAUUUUGAUAUUAUAUCCCAGCUGAAAACCAGAAUUUACUACUGCAGUUCGCUAUUGUGAAGUGAAAAAAAAAAAGAUCUAUGCUCCACUAAACCUCCUGCACUACUAAAUUUUCCACUUACAUUUUUUAAGUUGACGCCCUAAAAAAAAUGCAUGUACCUCCAUGUUAUAUUUUCUAGUGUGAAAUUGUGAUAAAAAAUUGUUUUGCAGAGGGAGGUGCUAUCAUGGGUCAUAACGCUCGAGGUUAUGAUGAGGGGCUAUGUUUUGGCAGUAACAAGGUGAGACCCAGCUUAUGCUACAUGCAUAAAAGAAUAUUUUUAAUUAAAAAAUUAAAAAAUGUUAAAAUAACUAAUGCUUGUUUGUUCUUGUGAAAAUAUUAACAUUGAGCAGGCAGGUGCAUGGGACUAUGAAACACAAGCAGCACCGGAUGAUCAAACAGAACGUUAUGAGGCAUUUCUAAAUUUGUCGCAGGAAAGCAAUAUGAUGUAUACAGAUUUAAUUCAGCAGAUUGGGUUUCUCAAGGAGCCAAACACAACUUCACAGGUGAGGGAAAAAAGUAAAAAAAAAAGGUAUAAGAAUUACUGAUUUUGUGUAAAAACACAUAUAAAUUUGAAUUUUGUUCUUGUGUGUCCAGAGUGGUUAUCAGGCUGAUGCCCCUGUUGGUGGAUUUAUGAAUUUGCUUCAAUUAACAGAGGAUUUUGAGGUGCCAUACAUAUAAUCUUUAGUGAGAAAUUUAUAUAGAAUUUUGUGAAUGUAAUCUAAUGUUUCUUUUAUGCCUUUUGUGACUACAAACAGAACAACACGGAUUACUCCUUGGAAAAUUAUUUGAAUGAUGAUGCUAACCUGCAUGACAAACAUGAUGCUAGCAUUGGAGUGGGAUGUAAUAGUAACAGUGAGGUACCUUUUUGUUAAAAACACAAAAAAAGUGUUUGCUUAAAAAAGCAUUAAACAAUUAUGUUAAUUUUACCUUUCUUUGUUGUCUUCAUACAGCACAAUAUGUACAUGACC